RNAcentral lists this long non-coding RNA (871 nucleotides) under Mytilus galloprovincialis (Mediterranean mussel). The record is from RNAcentral. Lineage: Eukaryota; Metazoa; Mollusca; Bivalvia; Mytilida; Mytilidae.
CUGGACACCAAUUAUGUCUUCGGACAACGGAGACGACGAUGAAAACAUCAUACCAUUAUACAAUGCGGUCAUAUAAAAAUGCAUGCAUGAUACAAAAUUGAUGGAAAGGUCAUAAAUGCAGAUACUAACAUCUUGUAACUACUUCCAUUUGCUGUUUCGAAUUUUGUUUCCAUUAGGUGCAGCAAACGUCUGCUAAAGUGCAGAAUGUGUCUUUUAGACCUGAUUAAGAUAGAUUUGGUGUCUUCCACAAUAGGGGCUUGAAAUGAAGGUUAAACUAUAUAUAACUAAUAUCAAAACAAUAUCUUCAAGCAUGAAGAGAAAAAAAUGUGUCUUAGUUGACUGUUGAAGAUCUGAUACAUAGUUACCUUUAAGGGUCAGUUUGUAUCUGUUGACAGUUAAGCUUAUUAUAAAUAAGCUACGUUCCUUUGAGGGUCAGUGUCUCCUUUGACAUUUAAGAUAAUGGUUGUACUCUUUAUAUGAUACUGUUUGUGACUAAGCUACUUCUCACAAUUAAAGUAAUCGAAAUCUCUGAUGGAAAAAGUGAGAGUUGUAUGCAUGCAUAAUUUUAAACAUAUUCUCAUGUAUCCUGGUGAGAAAAAAACCUUGGUAUAUCACUCUUACAUUUAAUUCAGAAAGAUAAUUGUUUCCCUAAAUUUGCUUUUAAUAGGUUGCAUUUGUAGUCCGGCCGAUUGGUGCAGAUAUAGAGCAGAAUUGCUCACUUGAUGAGGAAAGCAUGAAACUUUGCAUAGUAGUUCUUGGUUAUUACCCUUUGAUUUUCAGCUAUGGACCCACUCUGAAAAAUCCAAUAUGGCUGCCAUUUUCAAGAUGGCGGAAAAACGGUAUAAAUAUCAAGAUUGUCCUAAAGGUAUUC